CCUACGGGUGGCAGCAGUGGGGAAUAUUUGGCAAUGGGCGCAAGCCUGACCCAGCAACGCCGCGUGAAGGAAGAAGGCCCUCGGGUUGUAACCUUCUUUUAUCAGGGACGACGAAGUGACGGUACCUGAUGAAUAAGCCACGGCUAACUACGUGCCAGCACCCGCGGUAAUACGUAGGUGGCAAGCGUUAUCCGGAUUUACUGGGUGUAAAGGGCGUGUAGGCGGGGAAGCAAGUCAGAUGUGAAAUUCCAGGGCUCAACCCUGGAACUGCAUUUGAAACUGUUUUUCUUGAGUGAUGGAGAGGCAGGCGGAAUUCCGUGUGUAGCGGUGAAAUGCGUAGAUAUACGGAGGAACACCAGUGGCGAAGGCGGCCUGCUGGACAUUAACUGACGCGGAGGCGCGAAAGCGUGGGGAGCAAACAGGAUUAGAUACCCUAGUAGUC
Molecule: ribosomal RNA, 442 nt
Filed under: uncultured bacterium
Lineage: Bacteria
Description: partial 16S ribosomal RNA
Rfam family: Bacterial small subunit ribosomal RNA
Source: RNAcentral